Molecule: long non-coding RNA, 770 nt
Filed under: Populus trichocarpa (black cottonwood)
Lineage: Eukaryota; Viridiplantae; Streptophyta; Magnoliopsida; Malpighiales; Salicaceae
Description: long non-coding RNA (PTRI_LNC003275)
Source: RNAcentral
UUUUGUUGAGGCUUCAUGUAUAAAUGUUUGUAGGUUUACAUACACGUCAAUCAAGAAGAGCCCCAAUUAAGCUUAUUGAAACAAGAAGAGAUUUGAGAGUUUUUAUCAUUUAAUUGAAUUGCCAAGCUCAACAUAGGGUUGUUAUUGUUAGUUGCAAUGGCGAGGAGUUAAUCACGAUUCUCUCUACUAAAGUGGUUCGGCGUUAAAGAAAGGAAACUCCAUGGCCAUUUGUCCACCAACAAGUAAUUAGAAACAAAGAGUGUUGCAGAGACACGCAGCUUUUGUUUUUUGGCCUACAAAAUAAGUAGAGCUUGAACCCGCCAGGAUUUUGCUUUCCAAUUUGAUCCGUUAAAGUUGAUGUUCCUGACAAAAUAAUAUGAGAAAAUAGAGAUCAUGUAAAUGGAAGACGUAAGAUAACAACAAGUGGCUAGCUAGAGCUUAAAUAUCAUUUAGGAUCGUAUCUAUAGUGUUAAAUAUAUAUGGAGACCUAAUUUUUUUAAAAAAGAGAGGCUAAAAUGAGGCCAUUUGGUGCAUUGACUGGCAAUUUCAAUGUUUUCUUUCGAAUAAUUGCCCAUGGUAAGCAAUUGGGUAUAGACAAGAGACAAUAUGGAUAAUGUUAAAGAUUAGAAGUACCCAGAAACGAAAGUACUGUAUGUUCUGACUUCAAUGUCAGACGUUCAAGGACCCAAGCUUCCACAAUCAUCACUACCAAGAAAAUAAUAAAAUAUCACAAAUUUAAAGGGUUUUAAUAAUAAUAUAUUAUGUGGAGC